UACGGGGGGGGCAAGCGUUGUUCGGAAUUACUGGGCGUAAAGGGCUCGUAGGCGGCCAACUAAGUCAGACGUGAAAUCCCUCGGCUUAACCGAGGAACUGCGUCUGAUACUGGAUGGCUUGAGAUUGGGAGAGGGAUGCGGAAUUCCAGGUGUAGCGGUGAAAUGCGUAGAUAUCUGGAGGAACACCGGUGGCGAAGGCGGCAUCCUGGACCAACACUGACGCUGAGGAGCGAAAGCCAGGGGAGCAAACGGG
RNAcentral lists this ribosomal RNA (253 nucleotides) under uncultured bacterium. RNAcentral's name for it is "partial 16S ribosomal RNA". It matches the Rfam family "Bacterial small subunit ribosomal RNA", at positions 524 to 776 of the family's 1533-position model. The record is from RNAcentral.